This 405-nucleotide ribosomal RNA is filed under the name uncultured bacterium. RNAcentral's name for it is "bacterial SSU rRNA". It matches the Rfam family "Bacterial small subunit ribosomal RNA", at positions 30 to 436 of the family's 1533-position model. The record is from RNAcentral.
AUUGAACGCUGGCGGCAUGCCUUACACAUGCAAGUCGAACGGCAGCACGGGAGCAAUCCUGGUGGCGAGUGGCGAACGGGUGAGUAAUAUAUCGGAACGUGCCCAGUCGUGGGGGAUAACGUAGCGAAAGCUACGCUAAUACCGCAUACGAUCUAUGGAUGAAAGCGGGGGAUCGCAAGACCUCGCGCGAUUGGAGCGGCCGAUAUCAGAUUAGGUUGUUGGUGGGGUAAAAGCUCACCAAGCCUGCGAUCUGUAGCUGGUCUGAGAGGACGACCAGCCACACUGGAACUGAGACACGGUCCAGACUCCUACGGGAGGCAGCAGUGGGGAAUUUUGGACAAUGGGCGCAAGCCUGAUCCAGCAAUGCCGCGUGCAGGAUGAAGGCCUUCGGUUGUAACUAGCUUU